Long non-coding RNA from Sarcophilus harrisii (Tasmanian devil), 622 nucleotides. RefSeq lists it as uncharacterized. The transcript has 3 exons. Lineage: Eukaryota; Metazoa; Chordata; Mammalia; Dasyuromorphia; Dasyuridae. The record is from RefSeq and is a predicted model, not a curated record.
CAUAACCCCUCCCAGGGGACGCUGUGAAGUGCUAGGAUACUGUAAUGAAUACAUUCAGGUGUUAGCCAGUGGGUAGGACAGGUAUUUUGGGUUGAGGUGGAAUUUCCGGGUACUUUGGAAGCUAAUCCCCGUUCCAUAUUUUGAUAAUUGCCUGUCAACAGUUAAGAAUGCCCUCCUUGAGCUUGAUGUCACCACCCUCACCCUGAAAAUCAACAUUGUCAGCCAACAGAGCAGCUGGUAAAGAUACUUCCUUUCUCCCUGGCCAGCUGCCUCUCAAACCUGGCUAUCCACCUAUCUGAAGCAGUAUGAGAGGUCCGCCUGACCUAUAUAAUAGCCUUGGGAUAGGCUUACUCUGAGUCAGAAGAGGGAGAACAAAAGGUCAGGGGGGAUCAAGACAUGGCACUCCUGUAAUCUGGAAAAUCUACCUAGAAUGUUUUUGGCCCUUCCUUCGUACCAGAGAAGAAAUCUAAAUUAUUAUGGGAUUAAAGAAAAACUGACACCAUAUAAUACUAUUCAUAUAUAUUUAUGCAUUAUUCAGUUUCUAAACUUUUUUCUGUGUCAUCUAUUAACCUUUGUGUAUUGUCUACAGUUUUUACAAAAAUUCCUCCAAAUUCCCACUUCA